RNAcentral lists this unclassified non-coding RNA (314 nucleotides) under uncultured Thelephorales. RNAcentral describes it as "sequence contains 5.8S rRNA gene". Lineage: Eukaryota; Fungi; Basidiomycota; Agaricomycetes; Thelephorales. The record is from RNAcentral.
GAACGCACCUUGCGCCCCUUGGCUAUUCCGAGGGGCAUGCCUGUUUGAGUAUCAUGAACACCUCAACUCUCAUGGUUUGCCAUGAUGAGCUUGGAUUUUGGGGGUUUUGCCGGCCUAGUGUCGGCUCCUCUCACAUGGAUCAGCCUGCCAGUGUUUGGUGGCAUCACGGGUGUGAUAACUAUCUACGCUUGUGGUUUUCCACCACGUAACCUUCAGCGAUGGAGGUUCGCUGGGCUCACAGAUGUCGCUCCUCGGCGAGGACGGCUUUUGAACGUUUGAUCUCAAAUCAGGUAGGACUACCCGCUGAACUUAAG